GACGAACGCUGGCGGCGUGCUUAACACAUGCAAGUCGAGCGAUGAAGCACCUUCGGGUGUGAAUUAGCGGCGAACGGGUNAGGAACACGUGAAGAAUCUGCCUUCAACUCUGGGAUAACUCCGGGAAACCGGGGCUAAUACCGGAUAUGAGCCUUGAUCGCAUGAUCGGGGCUGGAAAGUUUUUCGGUUGAAGAUGACUUCGCGGCCUAUCAGCUUGUUGGUGAGGUAAUGGCUCACCAAGGCGACGACGGGUAGCCGGCCUGAGAGGGCGACCGGCCACACUGGGACUGAGACACGGCCCAGACUCCUACGGGAGGCAGCAGUGGGGAAUAUUGGGCAAUGGAGGAAACUCUGACCCAGCGACGCCGCGUGAGGGAUGAAGGCCUUCGGGUUGUAAACCUCUUUCAGUAGGGAAGAAGCGAAAGUGACGG
Molecule: ribosomal RNA, 431 nt
Filed under: uncultured Actinomycetales bacterium
Lineage: Bacteria; Bacillati; Actinomycetota; Actinomycetes; Actinomycetales
Description: bacterial SSU rRNA
Rfam family: Bacterial small subunit ribosomal RNA
Source: RNAcentral